Molecule: ribosomal RNA, 262 nt
Filed under: uncultured bacterium
Lineage: Bacteria
Description: partial 16S ribosomal RNA
Rfam family: Bacterial small subunit ribosomal RNA
Source: RNAcentral
CGACCGGCGCACGGGUGAGUAACACGUAUGGAACCUGCCCGCAGCAGGGGGAUAAGCGGAAGAAAUUCCGUCUAAUACCGCGUAAUAACGUUGGGAGGCAUCUCCCGAUGUUUAAAGAUUUAUCGGCUGCGGAUGGCCAUGCGGCGCAUUAGCUAGUCGGCGGGGUAACGGCCCACCGAGGCGACGAUGCGUAGGGGUUCUGAGAGGAAGGUCCCCCACACUGGUACUGAGACACGGACCAGACUCCUACGGAAGGCAGCAG